UACGAAGGGUGCAAGCGUUGCUCGGAAUCACUGGGCGUAAAGCGCACGUAGGCGGCUUGUUAAGUCUGGGGUGAAAUCCUGGAGCUCAACUCCAGAACUGCCUUUGAUACUGGCGAUCUCGAGUCCGGGAGAGGUGAGUGGAACUCCGAGUGUAGUGGUGAAAUGCGUAGAUAUCGGGAGGAACGCCAGUGGCGAAGGCGACUACCUGGCCUGUUCUUGACGCUGAGGCGCGAAAGCUAGGGGAGCAAACGGG
Molecule: ribosomal RNA, 253 nt
Filed under: uncultured bacterium
Lineage: Bacteria
Description: partial 16S ribosomal RNA
Rfam family: Bacterial small subunit ribosomal RNA
Source: RNAcentral